UGGGGAAUAUUGCGCAAUGGGCGAAAGCCUGACGCAGCAACGCCGUGUGAGUGAUGAAGGCCUUCGGGUCGUAAAGCUCUGUCGGAGGGAACGAAUGCUCCUGAAGUUAACAGCCUCAGGAGGUGACGGUACCCUCAAAGGAAGCACCGGCUAACUCUGUGCCAGCAGCCGCGGUAAUACAGAGGGUGCAAGCGUUGUUCGGAAUCAUUGGGCGUAAAGGGCGUGUAGGCGGUAUGUCAAGUCAGGUGUGAAAUCCCCGAGCUUAACUUGGGAAUUGCGCUUGAAACUAGAUCGCUAGAGUACGGCAGAGGGGGGUAGAAUUCCACGUGUAGCAGUGAAAUGCGUAGAGAUGUGGAGGAACACCGAUGGCGAAGGCAGCCCCCUGGGCCUGUACUGACGCUCAUGCAUGAAAGCGUGGGGAGCAAACAGGAUUAGAUACCCAUGUAGUCCCUGAGCGGGCUGGCAAGGCGCAU
Molecule: ribosomal RNA, 473 nt
Filed under: uncultured bacterium
Lineage: Bacteria
Description: bacterial SSU rRNA
Rfam family: Bacterial small subunit ribosomal RNA
Source: RNAcentral